This 8301-nucleotide long non-coding RNA is filed under the name Sorghum bicolor (sorghum). Its description in RNAcentral is "long non-coding RNA (SBIC_LNC010432)". Lineage: Eukaryota; Viridiplantae; Streptophyta; Magnoliopsida; Poales; Poaceae. The record is from RNAcentral.
GUGUGGGCCUUUCUUCCGUAUUUCCUGAUAACCCCCUGUAGAAAUAGACGAACACCAAAACUUGUGGAAUUCUGUCAGAUAAAAUCCUAAGUCUAGGUGUUGGUUCAAUUUCGAUCCUUUUCUAUGAUCAGUUGAUUGUUAAUUGUGAGCAUUAAGGACCGUCAACAAGCUCCCCCAAGCUUAACCUUUGCUCGUCCCUGAGCAAAGAUGAACUCAAGAGUUUCUGCAGUGGUUUCAUAACUUAAAGAUACACAUGCGUUUAAACAAGAUCUCAUCUCUGGUUAGAGUAAACUGUUAAGAUUUAAACUUACUCAUUUUACCUUCCACCAUGGGGCUUGCAACCGUCACUUGUGUCUUGAGCAGUUAAAAGAUAGAACGGUCUAGUCAAGCGCCAUGUCUCUUGUUCUUCGAUUAACUAUAGCUCUGGAGUUUUUGCAGAUUUUCAAAUAAAACUCAGAGAUUCCUUGUAUGACUCUCUCUAGUGUCUAUUUUGUGGUAUUUCAGGAUCCUUACCAAGGCAGUGAUGGUAUAUGCCUUCUCUCAAAGUAUGUGGUAUUUGUGGUAUAAGACAUAGUGGCAUUGCCUUUUCUCUCACCCUACUCUAAUAAGGUUUUGAUAUCUGGAGCUCAUAGGUGGGAGAUAGCUAAUACAUACUUACAAGACAUUUAUUGCAUAGUCAAACCAUGGAUCCAGAAGAACAAGUCAAUAAGUCAAAUCAAGAUGUGCAUGUGUGGCGAAUGAAUGAUGCAUGGUAAUGAUGGUGAUAACAAUGGUGAAAGUCUAAUUCUACUUAUGCUCUUUUGAGGGGAUACAUACCUUUCUUGCUCUUUUGAAACUUUUUGAGGAGAAUGAGAUGCUCUAUAUUUUCUUUUUUCUUUUCUCUCAGGUGGGUAUCUUGUACCCCUAAUUCUACUGUCGGACAUUUGUCCAUUUUUACCUCUCGUCUCACUUUUUUUUCUUUUCUUUCGAGGUUCCGGGCACUUGCCCCUUUUUAUUUCCUCGUAUUUAUUUUUUUUCCCUCUUUUUUUUUAUUAGAGCACUCAUCUCAUGAGAUAAUAUAGCAAGUGGUAGUAACAAGAUAACUUGAGCAUUUAUUUCACAGGGAAAAACAUAAAUAGGAGAAUAUUUUUGGCUAUUCUCUCCCGGAUUAGGAGUAGAAUAUUUUUGGGUGGUUCUGGAGAUGGAAAUGGAUGGAUAUAUGUGGAUGGUACUUCUGGAGUAGAAGUAGCACGUGUGAGUGAACGUGCAAGUGAAUCUUGAUUUAACCACAUGACAAACUCCUAAGGGUCUACACAGCUUGACCACACUCAAUGCUCAUAAGCAGUAAAAAGUAAAUGUGUGGUUCAUAGUCUAACAAGCAUGUAUAUAUGGCUGUGGUAGGAAUUUAAACUCUCAUCAUACAGGAACUCAUCAUGCAACAUUUUAAAGAUUUUCAAAGAUAAAAUUCUCUAGAAUUCUAGCAUCUCUAGGAACAGAUAAACAGCAGCUCAACCUUCCCAUAUCAUAUCCGUUAACGACUUAGACUUCAGAUCAAGUACUCUCCCCACAAGUUCAGGUUUAGAGCAAAUCUUAAUUAAUACCAGUCAUGCCUAAACUAGAGAGAGAUUUCAAUUUUGAGAACUAGCCAUGGCAGAGCAACUAUUCAUCAUUUCCAUGUGAGAGCUUAUCAUGAGGAUUCAUGGCAAACUUUAUUUAUUUAUUUAUUUAGCAAACUAAGCAAAGAUAUAUAUAAGCACAAAAUCUUUAUUUGGGUUUUUAUGAUUAUGCAUCUUUUUAUUAUUAGAGUAGAGUAUAAACGUGAGUAGAAUACUUAGCUGGAUAAAUGGGGGUGCUCUCCCCCAAGCUGGAUUUUGACGUAAUUCCUUUUGAUGUAGCUAGCCAGUGGUGGAGGUGUAUUUGAAUGUCGGCAGCACCCUGAUGACGAUUAGGAUGUCCUUCGUCUACUAGUCUUCUUUGAUCCUUGAAUUCUGUGGAGCUCAAAUAAACAACAAAGCUUUGUAGAACUAGUUAAGUGUUAGCAUAUAUAUCUAGCCUUUAUCAUGUUGAGCCUCCUCAAUAAAUGUUACUCAUUAGUAGGAUCAUAAUUUUAUUUUUAUAAUUUUAUUUUUAUAGGACAUGAAUAUACUUAUUUCAUUUUUACGCAACCACAGUGGAUGUACUUAUGGGUUUUAUGCCAUGAUCAUACUCACAUGGGGCUUACUAUUUUUAACAUUUUUAUUUUCUUUUCAAGAUGAUAUGAACCUGCUUAACUAAGCAAACUAUUUUAAAUAGUUGAAAGGAAAAAGAUAACUACCAAGUUUACCUCUUGGCAAGGCGUUCGGUGUUUUUAAGUCCUCCGAAUGGGACUCUCCAUUUUCUCAGUCAUCCUGGGAUUCGCUGGAUGCGUAGUCGGUGGUUCCGGUGGAGCCUCCUCUUCGUGUAUAACAAUCUUCUCUCUACACACCUGACUCGGUGCUACGGUCUCCUUAGGACAGUUCUGUUCAAGUUGUAUGUCUUCAGAUAUUACCACUUCUUCUUCGUAGUCUGCCCAUCCGUCCUUUAUGAUUUUCCUCCUCUGGUUACGGUUGCGUCGUCUUCUUCUUGUCCUGACCUGCUUAGAGUCUUCAACUAUAUAGUUAGAGUCAGUAAAACAGUGGCGUAACUUCUCUGAGGGGAAGUUCAUGUGGACUUCUCCGGUUCCAAUGUAGAUGAUUAUUUUAACAGUGCUGAGGAACUGUCUCCCAAGGAUGAUGGGUGGAUCGUGCUCGUCUUUUCCCAUGUCAAUAACCAUUCAGAAUGUCUGAUCUGCCAUCUGAAGUUGAAUGUAUGUCGGUUUAGGGGCAUGGUUCUGAAUAGGAGCUGAUAGGUGACUAGCGGCCAUUAUGUUGAUGCCUGACCCGGUGUCGCAAAGCGUCUUCUAGAAGUUGUAUCCAUUAAUGGAGCACUGGAUGCUUGGCAUGCCUGGUCGUCCUUUUUGGUCAGGAACGGUGACUUAAAUAGAUGAUCUUGACCUCCUUGAACUGCAGUGACCAUCUUAGCUGACUCGGUCCACACUUGCUUGUUCCUGUUCCUCCUGUUGGUCCUCUUCCUUGGUUCAUGUCGGGAAUGCUCUGAGAUUUGUGUAGUCUUGUUCUUGAAGGAAAACGUCUCCUUCCUCCCCUUGAUGUAGAAACUGAUCUUGGCAGCACUAGCGUAGAUGACAGCUCCUGAGGUGUUCAGGAAUGGCCUCCCUAGGAUGGAUGCCCUCUCAUCAGUACCAGUCUCUAUCACCACGAAGUCUGCUGGGGCGUACAAGGUACCAACUCAGACGAAGAGGUUGUUCAAUAUUCUCUUUGGGAAACUUAGCGUACGAUCUGCAAGCUGCAAACACAUGGUUGUUUCUAGGAAAGGAUGUGUAAAGAAUUUUUCAUAGAGUACCCUGAGCAUAAUGUUGACGCUGGAGCCAAAGUUGCAGAGUGCUUCUAGGAAGUCCACCAUGCCGAUGGAGAUCGGGAUGACGGGACGUCCUGGAUUGUAUCUCUUGACCAGCAGAAGGUCAGUAAUUACUUCCACAACGGGGUUACUCCAGUAGUUACGUCCUCAAGCAUCUCAGGGCAGUGAUUGCCUGAGUGUCCAGUAUCUCCAGUGUGUUUGUGCUCGUAGAUCUAGGUUCUUCACUUGGUGGAGUCUGGGAGUUGUAAAAGUCCGUCAUAUUUUGCUUGAAGUGUACCUGCUCAUAGAGACAAGGCAGAGAUCAAGUGCAUGGGCCCUGUUGGUGGAAAACACCAACAGAACCAAAAGUGUAUUUGUUCUCUCUAACCUUAAGAAUAGUGAGCAAGACAAAGUUGAUGGAUAAUAAGAUCAUGAGUGUAGCAUUUAAAACAUUUGUCAGAUCAGAUCACUCAAUCUAAUGGAAAGAUAAUCUAUCUAUAUUUAUGUUUUUUUAUCUUCCAAAGGUUGAGUGUGCAACAUUAUAGCUCAUAUUAGGAGUAUAGGAUCACCAAAAGUGGAAGGACUAAACAUGUGGAAUCGAUCGGGUUGGUUAAUCUAGAGUUGUAAACCAUACAUGUUUGUCUCUUUUAUUCAUGUGAACGCCAGAACCAAGGAGAAGCUUAUAGAAGUGAUAGUCAAGUACCUUAAGAUGUUACCUUACUUGAAGAGUGAUGGUACAGUAUCACCUUAUGGAAGCUUUCCUUUCUUAGCGGUUGUGCAUCGUUUUUGUGGCACCCUCCAUGGAUCAUCUCUUAUGCCUUCCUUGUGUAAAUUGUUAAACUUCAUGUGUCUCUCUCUUUGUCUCUAAUGUGAGUUUAUCUCAGGACUUCCCAGGUCGAUAUUGAAAGUUUUCCUGCAGGGGUUAGUCCAACAAAAUAUCCAAUAUCUACUAUAGCAUACUAUCGGCUCAAAAAUCAAUCUAGACACCAUGUCUACUUUGAUUUAGGAGGGCAUUUUAACCUAAGCACCAUGCUUAAUUUAAAACCCCUUGGAAGUAAGAUCAUCAUUCCUAACUAAGCACCAAGCUUAAUUAAGAGAUAAAUGAAACUACUCCAAACCUAGACAUAUACUAAAGCAAAUAAAGGUAGCAUGAGAGCAUUUAUAGAGUUCUACUCAAGUGGAGAUGAAGUAGUGUGAUUAGUAUUUAACAAAUUGAGCAUGUCUCAAAGGUAGGGACAACCAACAUAACAACAUGGCAAAGGAUGUUCUUAUGUAAGUACUCCCCCAAGCUUGAAUUUUUCAAAAUUCAAGUUUGGAUGAAUUUAAUUCAAUGUUGUAUGAUAGUUGGUUGGACAUACCUUGUGCUUGGCAUUCAUCCGAUCUUCUUGCUCCAAUCCUGAAAAGGUUAGUGACAAGAAUACCCGAAGGAAUUUUCUACAAUUAUCCUUAUAUGCUCAAUACACAAGGUAAUGUUGCAAAUAAUUAAAAGCUCAUGUUACGAUCUGAUCAGUGCUUGUUUUAGGACACUAAGCUUGUCCUUGGGAAACCCUCAAUUUAUGUCGGCGAAGUGGUUUCCCCUCCAACGCUGACCUAUAUUAAGAUCAACUCAACGAGAUCUGCAAAAUUUAUUAUAGACAUAUGCAUCGACAACCGCCCUUUUAAAGUUUUCAUAAAUAGAAAGGAAGUGGGGGUUGGAGAUCUCGAAUGUGGUGAUGUUGGAGAGACCAAUGGAUUGUGAAGAUGUUGCAUAUGAGCAUGGAGUAAAUGAAGUGGCUAUGAAAUAAAUUCCAUGCUCAUUAAUGCUUAGAGUGAAAUCCAUGUGGUAUGGUGAAAAUGGUAAGGUGAGUGUGGUAAAAAAAAGAAAAGAAAAAGGAUACACGGACGACUUGGUUCGAAACUAGCAUAGCUACUGUUCCCCGGCAACGGCGCUAGAAAGCUUGUUGGGUAUUUUAAACGCAAACAGAAAAAUCCGCAAGCGCACGGAUACCGAUGUAGCUUUCACCCGGGAGUAUUCUAGAGUAUCGAUUUUCCACAGAGAACGUGAGUGCACUAAUUAAGAUCCAAGAUCGCCCAAGGAUAACUAUAUAAUUAUUUUUGGUGGGAAGAGAGGAAGUUUCCUGAGAGUUCUCUAGUUGAUCUAAGAAUCAAAAAUUAGUUCAAGAUUAUCUAUUUCGGGACAUCAGAACACUAACCACAGAAAGAGACGAGAAGGGGGCUAGGAAGGUCUGACUACGGUCCUACAAACACCGAUCCGAACAAGGUGGAAUACGUCGACCGUUAGGGCUGUCACUACCCUAAGGCUACCACAACAAUCCGCAGGAUUGGGUGCAAUUCUAUGUAAUUGCAAGACUAAACACCACGUCUAAUCUAUUAAUUACUACUCUAAUGUUUCAAAGAUUAGAGCACUUGAUGCAAGCAGGAAUCCAAUAAAUAACUUGAAUGUAAAUAAAAGUAAUUAGAGAACUCAGGAAUUAUGAAUUGAAGAACGUGGAGAACGAUGAAGAACGAACCAGUUGCUGCAAAAGUACAAUGUUGAGGAAGAUCCGACAGAUCCGGCUCCUCCUCCUCCGCUCUCCUCUUCUCUCUUCCUAUUUUCUAGAUUACAACUCGCACUAACUAGAACUAGAACUAGAGGAACUAGAACUAGAACUAGAUGAACUAGAACUAGAUCUAGAUGAACUAGAGGUAGAACUAGAAGAACUAGAGGGAUCCUCUCUACUUGGAUGAAGAAUUGAAACCCUAACUUUGAUUCUGUAGAAGAGGUAUGAUCUCCAGGGGCCAGGGGAUCUGGUUUUAUAGUCCCUUCAAGUGAAUCUGGGCCCUCGGAUCAAACCGACAUUGAUCGUGUGGUUUUCCUUGAAGUAUUAGGUCGGUGGAGUGUUGUCCCCGAAUUGGACUCUGUUUGGUCCAGGGGGGAGGGCGGGCGCCCAGUAAGGGAGGGCGGGCGCCCAGUGCCCGGCUCCGUUACGUCUCCCGUUCGCUCCCGUGGCUUCUGGACUCUUCUAGAUGGUAGAUAGUUGUGCGGCACGUUAAUAUCUCUAUGUAAACCCGACGUGUGGGCCUUUCUUCCGUAUUUCCUGAUAACCCCCUGCAGAAAUAGACAAACACCAAAACUUGUGGAAUUCUGUCAGAUAAAACCCUAAGUCUAGGUGUUGGUUGCAUUUCGAUCCUUUUCUAUGAUCAGUUGAUUGUUAAUUGUGAGCAUUAAGGACCGUCAACAAGCUCCCCCAAGCUUAACCUUUGCUCGUCCCUGAGCAAAGAUGAACUCAAGAGUUUCUGCAGUGGUUUCAUAACUUAAAGAUACACAUGCGUUUAAACAAGAUCUCAUCUCUGGUUAGAGUAAACUGUUAUGAUUUAAACUUACUCAUUUAAACUUCCACCAUGGGGCUUGCAACCGUCACUUGUGUCUUGAGCAGUUAAAAGGUAGAACGGUCUAGUCAAGCACCAUGUCUCUUGUUCUUCGAUUAACUAUAGCUCUGGAGUUUUUUUAGAUUUUCAAAUAAAACUCAGAGAUUCCUUGUAUGACUCUCUCUAGUCUCUAUUUUGUGGUAUUUCUAGAUCCUUACCAAGGCAGUGAUGUUAUAUGCCUUCUCUCAAAGUAUGUGGUAUUUGUGGUAUAAGACAUAGUGGCAUUGCCUUUUCUCUCACCCUACUCUAAUAAGGUUUUGAUAUCUGGAGCUCAUAGGUGGGAGACAGCUAAUACAUACUUACAAGACAUUUAUUGCAUAGUCAAACCAUGGAUCCAGAAGAACAAGUCAAUAAGUCAAAUCAAGAUGUGCAUGUGUGGCGAAUGAAUGAUGCAUGGUAAUGAUGGUGAUAACAAUGGUGAAAGUCUAAUUCUACUUAUGCUCUUUUGAGGGGAUACAUACCUUUCUUGCUCUUUUGAAACUUUUUGAGGAGAAUGAGAUGCUCUAUAUUUUCUUUUUUCUUUUCUCUCAGGUGGGUAUCUUGUACCCCUAAUUCUACUGUCGGACACUUGUCCAUUUUUACCUCUCGUCUCACUUUUUUUUCUUUUCUUUCGAGGUUCCGGGCACUUGCCCCUUUUUAUUUCCUUGUAUUUAUUUUUUUCUCUCUCUUUUUUUUUAUUAGAGCACUCAUCUCAUGAGAUAAUAUAGCAAGUGGUAGUAACAAGAUAACUUGAGCAUUUAUUUCACAGGGAAAAACAUAAAUAGGAGAAUAUUUUUGGCUAUUCUCUCCCGGAUUAGGAGUAGAAUAUUUUUGGGUGGUUCUGGAGAUGGAAAUGGAUGGAUAUAUGUGGAUGGUACUUCUGGAGUAGAAGUAGCAUGUGUGAGUGAACGUGCAAGUGAAUCUUGAUUUAACCACAUGACAAGCUCCUAAGGGUCUACACAGCUUGACCACACUCAAUGCUCAUAAGCAGUAAAAAGUAAAUGUGUGGUUCACAGUCUAACAAGCAUGUAUAUAUGGCUGUGGUAGGAAUUUAAACUCUCAUCAUACAAGAACUCAUCAUGCAACAUUUUAAAGAUUUUCAAAGAUAAAAUUCUCUAGAAUUCUAGCAUCUCUAGGAACAGAUAAACAGCAGCUCAACCUUCCCAUAUCAUAUCCGUUAACGACUUAGACUUCAGAUCAAGUACUCUCCCCACAAGUUCAGGUUUAGAGCAAAUCUUAAUUAAUACCAGUCAUGCCUAAACUAGAGAGAGAUUUCAAUUUUGAGAACUAGCCAUGGCAGAGCAACUAUUCAUCAUUUCCAUGUGAGAGCUUAUCAUGAGGGUUCAUAGCAAACUUUAUUUAUUUAUUUAUUUAGCAAACUAAGCAAAGAUAUAUAUAAGCACAAAAUCUUUAUUUGGAUUUUUAUGAUUAUGCAUCUUUUUAUUAUUAGAGUAAAGUAUAAACGUGAGUAGAAUACUUAGCUGGAUAAAUGGGGGUGCUCUCCCCCAAGCUGGAUUUUGACGU